GAGGGUAUAGCUAAAAUGGUAGAGCACAUGCUUAGCAUGCACGAGGUCUUGGGUUCAAUCCCCAGUACCUCCA
RNAcentral lists this transfer RNA (73 nucleotides) under Camelus bactrianus (Bactrian camel). It matches the Rfam family "tRNA". Rfam says of the family: Transfer RNA (tRNA) molecules are approximately 80 nucleotides in length. Their secondary structure includes four short double-helical elements and three loops (D, anti-codon, and T loops). RNAcentral also lists the same sequence under 2 other names. Lineage: Eukaryota; Metazoa; Chordata; Mammalia; Artiodactyla; Camelidae. The record is from Rfam by way of RNAcentral.